Molecule: long non-coding RNA, 1118 nt
Organism: Pipra filicauda (Wire-tailed manakin)
Lineage: Eukaryota; Metazoa; Chordata; Aves; Passeriformes; Pipridae
Exons: 5
Source: RefSeq, a predicted model, not a curated record
UUUUAUUGCUGAAUCUUUCACACUCCGGAGAAGAGUACUGCUGUUGUCUGGUGGCUAAAAGCAAAAUCACAUAAAGAGGGAAGAGAAAGGAGAGUAAAACAAAGCUGUCUCUCACUCCCAGCUCGAUAACAAAUGCAGCAAGUGAUCUCGUAAGCACACCAGGUAGUGCCUCUGGGCUGGCACGAUGCCCACCUGUGCCAUCUGCUGAGCAUCAAACCUUCCUCUGCUUCCUAUCCUGCAGAACCUGCUGCAGCCGGGCUCUGCUUUUCUGCUGAAAUCACUGCGGCACACAGCCAGCCCAGGCAAAACUGCUCAUCGGACAAUCAGAAUUUGCCGUUCCCAUCUGCCACAAGCUGGGCUUUGGGCUGGAGAAGUAGCCGAAGGCUGCUGCUCUCCAAAGGAGCUCAGAAAUUAGGGUCUGUCUGCAUCACAGUACCAGGAGUUCAUUUAUCUCUUUUUGGAAAUGACAGUGUCCUAAAUGAACAUAGUGGAGAGCAUGGGCAGGCCAAUGAACACACCUUAAAACAAGUGGCUUCCCUCAGAUGAAUGAAGGGACACACUGUUUGCAAGCCUCAUUGCUGAGAGCUUCCUUGCAGUCCAUCUGCACGCCAAAAUGAAACUCCUUGAGACCCAGACAGGAGGAAGUCCUGCUUCAUUUCAUAUUCGUCUGGUAAUACCAGAUGCUGUUUGGCUGCUUUCUGGAAAAGUGCCUUCCUUCCCAGGGGUGGAGGAGCUGGUUCAGUCUUGCAUUUGUCUUUGGUGAGUGUGGGCAACUGGGCCAGUGGCACUGCUCCCACAAAUUGCCCAGCAGGAACCAUACAUGUGCUGGGACACAUCAUUUCUGCCCUUGAAAGGAGACAAGGAGAGUCCUGCCCAGGGUUCCCUGAAUCUCUGAGGAAGAAGCCAGGCUGCUUGUGCAGAGGACAAUGCUGCUGCCUGCUCUGCUUCUGUCCGGGGGUAGUCCUGCCCAUCUUUAAGCUAAUUAAAACUUCUGCUCAUUAUAGCAGUGUGGGUUUUGGCAAGGUCAUAAAUCAAUCACUGUCUUAGAAAUAUGAGCUGUCAUAAUUGUGCAUUGUCUAAAUGUGAACUAAUGAGUUAACGACUAUUCCAGCUGUUGU